Molecule: long non-coding RNA, 789 nt
Organism: Myotis brandtii (Brandt's bat)
Lineage: Eukaryota; Metazoa; Chordata; Mammalia; Chiroptera; Vespertilionidae
Exons: 2
Source: RefSeq, a predicted model, not a curated record
GUGAGCCUGAACCAACUGUGGCCGCCUGCCUGUCCAGUCUUUGUCGUCCGUCUUUCAGUGUGCAUCGCCGGGUGGCCUUUGCUGGAGCCUAGGACCCACUAGGAAUAGAACACUCAUACCUGUAGCCCCGAGCUCACCAUGUGAGAAGCUGAACUGUUCAGAAGCUACCAUGCUGUGAGGAAACCAAGCCGCAUGGAAGGGCCACUGCAGGCACCUCGGUCUGCAGUCCUGGCCCACAAGUCAUCCCAGCCCAGGCACCAGACACCUGAGGGAAGAUGCCUCCAGCUGUUGACUCACCACUAGCUUUGGGCCUUCCCAUUUAAGGUCCCAGACAUCUCAAAGCAGAGAAGAGCCAUCCUUGCUGUGUCCUGCCCAGAUUCCUGACCCACAGAACCCAUACGCAUAAUAAAAUGAUUGCUUUAAGCUACUUAGCUUUGGGGUAAUUUGUUACACAGCAAAAAUAACUGGAACUUUGUUGUACUCCAGACCUUCACCAUAGCUUUUUUUUUCUUCUUACUGAAAUGCAUCCUUUUAUCACGGUUGGGUUUUUUUUAAGUGAUGUUCUAUGGGUGCCAAAGUCUCUCAGUCUUUGUAUAACUGAGUAUGUCCCUACUUUGCCUUCACUCUUGAAUAAUGGUUGACAGUUCUUUGUUCUCAAUACUUAAAAGAUAUUAUUCCAUUGUCUUCUGUACCUCUUAAGACUCAUGAUAGUCUAAUUAUUGUUCUUUUUUCUCAUUGCUUUAAAAAACCAUUAAUGAGGAUUAAAUAAAUUUGUUUGGUCUUUUUGUA